GAUGAACGCUGGCGGCGUGCCUAAUACAUGCAAGUCGAGCGAACGGACGAGAAGCUUGCUUUUCUGAUGUUAGCGGCGGACGGGUGAGUAACACGUGGAUAACCUACCUAUAAGACUGGGAUAACUUCGGGAAACCGGAGCUCAUACCGGAUAAUAUUUUGAACCGCAUGGUUCAAAAGUGAAAGCCGGUCUUGCUGUCACUUAUAGAUGGAUCCGCGCUGCAUUAGCUAGUUGGUAAGGUAACGGCUUACCAAGGCAACGAUGCAUAGCCGACCUGAGAGGGUGAUCGGCCACACUGGAACUGAGACACGGUCCAGACUCCUACGGGAGGCAGCAGUAGGGAAUAUUCCGCAAUGGGCGAAAGCCUGACGGAGCAACGCCGCGUGAGUGAUGAAGGUCUUCGGAUCGUAAAACUCUGUUAUUAGGGAAGAACAUAUGUGUAAGUAAAUCUGCACAUCUUGACGGUACCUAAUCAGAAAGCAACGGCUAACUACGUG
This 497-nucleotide ribosomal RNA is filed under the name uncultured bacterium. RNAcentral's name for it is "partial 16S ribosomal RNA". It matches the Rfam family "Bacterial small subunit ribosomal RNA", at positions 28 to 507 of the family's 1533-position model. The record is from RNAcentral.